UGAUGUCAUCAGUCACAUUGACCACAAACUCCCACUGAAAGGAGUCACAGAGUGACGAAGAGGAUGGACAGUUGGUGGCUCUGCUGACUUCCUGGCACACUGGAGGGAGAACAUCCGUCACCUGAAGACAGAACAUGACACCACUGUCAUCGGCCUCAUCAAGGACGGUGACGAGUCUGCAUAUCGACAGGAAGCGAAGCGGCUGGAGCUGUGGUGCGGCCGACACAACCUGGAGCUGAACACGCUCAAGACUGUAGAGAUGAUCGUGGACUUCAGGAGGCAUCCUUCGCCACAGCUGCCCCUCACGUUGUCCAGCUGCCUUGUGUCAACUGUCGAGACCUUCAAGUUCCUGGGAAUUACAGUCUCUCAGGACCUGAAGUGGGCGACCAACAUCAACUCCGUCCUCAAAAAGGCCCAGCAGAGGAUGUACUUCCUGCGGCUUCUGAGAAAGCACGGCCUGCCACCGGAGCUGCAGAGACAGUUCUACACAGCGGUCAUCGAAUCAGUCCUGUGUUCUUCCAUCACAGUCUGGUUUGGUGCUGCUACAAAAAAAGGACAAACUCCGACUGCAACGGACAAUCAAAACUGCUGAAAGGAUUGUCGGUACCCCCCUACCCACCAUUGAGGACUUGCACGCUGCCAGAACUAAGACAAGGGCGUGCGAAAUCCUCUCGGACCCUCCGUACCCCGGUCACCAGCUCUUCCAGCUCCUUCCCUCAGGUAGGCGCUACCGAUCAAUGCAAACUAGAACUAGUAUACAUUCCAACAGCUUCUUCCCUCUUGCGAUCAACUUCUUAAACGCCUGACCUACAAUUCCAUUACAACAUGCUGGCAAUUUUUUGACUUGAGUUGGUUGUCACAUUUCUGUGGGGCCAAUUAUGUAUUACUCGUGCACUCACUGUAGUUGUCUCGCCAUGCUGCACUAUUUGCAUAUAGUGGCCACUCAUGCCAGAGUAACAUCUGCUCCAUUUGCACACUGAUUGAGGAGUAUCUGUAACAUUUGCACAACCAACAUUGUCCCAGAUUAUCGCACUCCUCGUGACUUUAAACCGCAUACACUCCUUGAAGUCUCAGGGCCCUUUGCACAAUGGUCAUUGCACCGGACUAUUGCAAUAUUAGUCUGCUCUAAGUGCUAGAGGACUUUUUGCACAAUUGUAAAAAAUAAAUAAUAAUUUUUAAAUGUACCGGCAUUACCAGCUAACUAGCAACCCUGUACUGCUCAGUGACUGUUUUUUUUUGUUGUCAAUGUCUUUCUGUCUCCAAAGUGUUCUGUAAAUUGACUGUCUGUUGUCGUACUAGAGCGGCUCCAACUACCGGAGACAAAUUCCUUGUGUGUUUUUUGGACAUACUUGGCAAAUAAAGAUCAUUCUGAUUCUGGUUAAGUUUAAUUAAAGAGGUGGUUGUGUAGCUGAACACUGGAAGCCCAUUACAUAUUGUUUACUCCCAUUACUUUGUAAUAGUCCUAUUCAUCUAUCAUUCAAAUUUUACAAGAAAAAUGUAGUUUAGCUGUUGAAAUACACCUGUUUGAUACAUUAUUCACACAACACAGAUUUGCUCCGGCUUAUGUGUAAAACUUAUUUUCUCACUGUUCUGUCACUUUUUUAUGGGCUGAAACAUGGGCCAGCGGGAAGUGAAUUUGAAUCAUUUAUAUUUGAAGUUGAAUUUCUACACUUGAAUAAUUGCAUUCAAAAACAUAAUUUGAACAACAUAAUUUGAAUUUGUAUUGAUUAAUUUGAAACAUUGCAUUUAAAAACUGAAUCUGAAUAGUAUAAUUUGAAAUUGAAUUUAUUAGUUUGCAACUGAAGUCCAAUAAACUUGAAAGUGAAUGUAACCAUUUUUUAUCCGCACUGAAAAUUCAAAUUAUAUAUUUUCACAUUCAGUUUGAUCAUUUCAGAUUCAUCCAUCCAUCCAUUUUCUUUACUGCUUAUCCUCACUAGGGUUGCAGGCCACUGGAGCCUAUCCCAGCGGGAGGCGGAGUAAACCCUGAACCGGUCGCCAGCCAAUCGCAGGGCACAUAGAAACAAACAACCAUUCACACUCACAUUCACACCUAUGGGCGAUUUAGAGUCUUCAAUGGACCUACCACGCAUGUAUUUGCGAUCUGGGAGGAAACCAAAGUGCCCGGAGAAAACCCACCCAGGCACGGGGAGAAAAUGCAAACUCCACACAGGUGGGGCCAGGAAUUGAACCCCGGUCCUCAGAACUGUGAGGCAGACGCUCUAACCAGUCGUCCACCGUGCCGCCAAGAUUCAGUUCGACAAAUUCAAUUUCAAAUUAGCUGUGACAGACAUCUGGGAACUGUAAGGACUUUGUCUUAGGUGGAAAACAUCAAAGUCCAAAACAUGUCCAAAAGUAAAUGGACAACGGCUGCAUAAGGGCUGGACUCCAAUUCAUUCAUGUAAACACCCCAAUUAUGCAGAAAAGCUGGAAAACCAGUUUGCUGCUAACGACUCUGCAUCAGUUUGGCGAGGAUUACAAUUGCUAACCAAUUACAAGCGAUCAUCCCCCCAAGCGAAGAACUGGACUACGACUUGAAUACUUUCUACUGCAGAUUUGAAAAGGACACUUUCACACCCAACACCCACCUAGCCGCACCACCAUCACACCUCUGACUCCCUCUUCUGCAUUGACCCUUCACGAACAGGACGUGAAAUGUGUCUUCAAACAACAAAAGAUCAACACAGUGGCAGGCCCGGACAGUGUGUUCCCCUCCUGCUUGAAAGUCUGCGCGGACCAGCCCACUCCAGUUUGCACACAGAUCUUUAAUAGAUCUUUCGAACUAUGUGAAGUCCCAUCCUGCCUCAAACGCUCCACCAUCAUCCCAUUCCCCAAGGAACCUGCAAUUUUAGGACUGAAUAACUACAGACCUGUCACCCUGACAUCUGUGGUCAUGAAGUCCUUUGAAUGCCUCAUGCUAGACCACCUCAAGAGCAUCCCAGGACCCCUGCUGGACCCCCCUGCAGUUUGCCUAUCGAGCAAAAUAGUCUGUGGUGGAUGCAGUCAACAUGGGAGUUCACUUCAUCCCGGAACACCUCGACGGUGAAGGGACCUACGCAAGGAUCCUACUUGUGGACUUCAGCUCUGCAUUUGACACCAUCAUUCCCAAACUCUUCUCCGCCAAGCUUCUCCAGCUCAACGUCUCGCCUGCCAUCUGCCAGUGGAUCUACAGCUUCCUGACGGGCAGGACACAGCAGGUGAGGCUGUGUGUUUGCCGCACUACAGCUGCAGCCGCUCCAGCUCCUGGCGAUACGCAGAUUAAUCACCGUCUUGGAUGAAGCCAAAGACUAAGGUGUCGUCUGCAUACUUCAGGAGUUUGACAGCUGGGUGCGCUGGUGUAGUCGUUCGUGUAGAGUGAGAAGAGCAGCGGAGGUAGGUGCUAUCGAACAAUGCAAACUAAAACCAGUAGGCAUUCCAACAGCUUCUUCCCUCUUUCCAUUAACUUCAUAAACAGUUGACUUACAAUUUCAUUGUAACAUGCUGCCAAUUUUGCACAUCUCUGUUGGGACACUUCAACAUUAUUCAUACACUCACUGUUUUAUCACGCUGCAGUAUUUGCAUACUGUUGUUGAUUACUACUGGGCACUUAUGUGUUGGAGAACUCUCUGCACCAUUUGCACAAUCAUCACUGUACCAGAUCAUUGCACUAUUGGUCACUUUAAAUUCCUCUAAAUUGCUUGAGGACAGCAUCAUUUGCACAAUUGCCACCAUAUCAGCAUUACCACACUAGUGGUACACUUUCAUUGCUCAAUGACUCUCCAUACGUAUGUUUUUUAUGUCCUACGUGCAUAUAUUGUCAUAGUGGCUGUUUGUUGUCGUACUAGAGUGGCUCCAACUACUGGAGACAAAUUCCUUGUGGUUCUUGUAACAUACUUGUAUAGAGUAUAAUAAAGCUGGUUCUGAUUCUGA
Long non-coding RNA from Phyllopteryx taeniolatus (common seadragon), 3906 nucleotides. RefSeq lists it as uncharacterized. The transcript is spliced from 2 exons. NCBI's taxonomy places the organism in Eukaryota, Metazoa, Chordata, Actinopteri, Syngnathiformes, Syngnathidae. The record is from RefSeq and is a predicted model, not a curated record.